UCGCCCUCUGCGGGGCGGCCCGACCUGCCCUUCACGGCCGCUGUGCUCGCUGAGGUCGCCGGGGGCUGGAGGCGCCGCCCGGCCCCGCUCGGAGGCGGUCGCUACUCGCCUCCACUCCCCCAGCUCCCCAGGGACUCAGCCGCGGUGCCGCUGCCGCGGGGGCCCCGGCGGGCGAACUGUUGGAGGAAGGAGGCUGACAGCAAGGAAGAGGAGGAACAACAUGCGACCCUUCCUCCGAGAGAAAUAGGCUCUGCCCUAGAGAAAAGACCGUUUUAGGUGGGGCCACUAGGCCCCUCCAGUCCCCGCACUCGUCCCGCCUCUGUCCUGGCCGCGGUGAAGGGAACACUCUCAUCCUUCGAUGUCUCUGGAGGCGUGUGCGGGGCAAAGCCCUGCCCGGACGCUGCUGCCGAGUCAGGGAGGGUGGACCAUACGGGGCCCAGUGGUCCCAGAUGCUGCUCCCUCAGAUCUGGGGCCUAUUCGGGGGCGAUCCUUUGCAGUUCUGAAACUUCUGGUCCCUCUCCUGCUUUCCGCAGACAUUGUUACUAGACGUCAUAGUUGACGUUGAGUGCUGGAGCAGCUCUCAUAUGCCGAAACCUCCAGAUUCAGAGACGGAAAGAAGCGGGGCGCCCGCUGUCAGCACCCAAGUCUAGUGGAACUGGGCAAGCCAGGGCAGAAGGGGCUCUCAUCGCUGAGGAGUCCUUAGGAUUUCCCUCCAGCUCACAUCCUACUAGAGCUCAAACGAUCACUGAGCGCACACUCAGUGCCAGGCGCUGAAGGGACACAUGUUGCCCUGGUCUCAUGAGCUUUCCAGUCCAGCAAAAAGACAACUGAGGCGCGUCCUGUGCACACUGCUCCGGCUCUUUUCCUCUUACCUGUGCCUUCCAGGGUCGCUGCCAGCACACGUCUGGUCCGUCCACACGGUCCGGGACACUCCGUGUUCAGAGGCCCUGGCUGUGUCAGCCAGUCCCGCAGUGGCUUCUCCUGUCUCAGAGACCUGCAGGAAUGCGCCGGCACUUGCUGCGGGCCUGUCCUGAGGAGAGCCGCUGCGUCAUAGGGCAGGGCAUGUGUGCUUCUCAUGAAUCCUGUCGAGCUGCCCCCACUCGCACCACCACACAGGACAGUGCCUCUUGCCCUGCAGCUUUGCCAGCAAGACGUUCAUGACCUCCCAGCCAAAGCCCCCAACGUUGAGGGGCAGAGACAGGCCUCCUGCUGCAGCCCGUCUGGCUUCCUGGCCUGCAGACACCAUGGCAGGAUAGAAUGAGU
Equus quagga is the source of this 1263-nucleotide long non-coding RNA. RefSeq lists it as uncharacterized. The record is from RefSeq and is a predicted model, not a curated record. The transcript has 3 exons. Lineage: Eukaryota; Metazoa; Chordata; Mammalia; Perissodactyla; Equidae.